GAUGAACGCCGGCGGCGUGCCUAAUACAUGCAAGUCGAGCGAACGGACGAGAAGCUUGCUUCUCUGAUGUUAGCGGCGGACGGGUGAGUAACACGUGGAUAACCUACCUAUAAGACUGGGAUAACUUCGGGAAACCGUAGCUAAUACCGGAUAAUAUUUUGAACCGCAUGGUUCAAAAGUGAAAGACGGUCUUGCUGUCACUUAUAGAUGGAUCCGCGCUGCAUUAGCUAGUUGGUAAGGUAACGGCUUACCAAGGCAACGAUGCAUAGCCGACCUGAGAGGGUGAUCGGCCACACUGGAACUGAGACACGGUCCAGACUCCUACGGGAGGCAGCAGUAGGGAAUCUUCCGCAAAGGGCGAAAGCCUGACGGAGCAACGCCGCGUGAGUGAUGAAGGUCUUCGGAUCGUAAAACUCUGUUAUUAGGGAAGAACAUAUGUGUAAGUAACUGUGCACAUCUUGACGGUACCUAAUCAGAAAGCCACGGCUAACUACGUG
This 497-nucleotide ribosomal RNA is filed under the name uncultured bacterium. Its description in RNAcentral is "partial 16S ribosomal RNA". It matches the Rfam family "Bacterial small subunit ribosomal RNA", at positions 28 to 507 of the family's 1533-position model. The record is from RNAcentral.